AGAGUUUGAUCCUGGCUCAGAACGAACGCUGGCGGCAGGCCUCAAACAUGCAAGUCUAGGGGGCGUAGCAAUACGUCACCGGCGGACGGGUGCGUAACACGUGGGAAUAUACCUUUCGGUACGGAACAACUGAGGGAAACUUCAGCUAAUACCGUAUACGUCCUAACGGAGAAAGAUUUAUCGCCGAAGGAUUAGCCCGCGUUCGAUUAGCUAGUUGGUGAGGUAAUGGCUCACCAAGGCAACGAUCGAUAGCUGUUCUGAGAGGAAGAUCAGCCACACUGGGACUGAGACACGGCCCAGACUCCUACGGGAGGCAGCAGUUGGGAAUCUUGGACAAUGGGGGAAACCCUGAUCCAGCCAUGCCGCGUGAGUGAUGAAGGCCUUCGGGUUGUAAAGCUCUUUUACCCGGGAAGAUAAUGACUGUACCGGGAGAAUAAGCUCCGGCUAACUUCGUGCCAGCAGCCGCGGUAAUACGAAGGGGGCUAGCGUUGUUCGGAAUUACUGGGCGUAAAGCGCGCGCAGGCGGUUUCUCAAGUCAGUGGUGAAAGCCCGGAGCUCAACUCCGGAACUGCCAUUGAAACUGUGAGACUUGAGGACGAGAGAGGUGAGUGGAAUUCCCAGUGUAGAGGUGAAAUUCGUAGAUAUUGGGAAGAACACCGGUGGCGAAGGCGGCUCACUGGCUCGUUUCUGACGCUCAGGCGCGACAGCGUGGGGAUCAAACAGGAUUAGAUACCCUAGUAGUCC
Molecule: ribosomal RNA, 744 nt
Filed under: uncultured bacterium
Lineage: Bacteria
Description: bacterial SSU rRNA
Rfam family: Bacterial small subunit ribosomal RNA
Source: RNAcentral